This 2122-nucleotide ribosomal RNA is filed under the name Salmonella enterica. Its description in RNAcentral is "partial 23S ribosomal RNA". It matches the Rfam family "Bacterial large subunit ribosomal RNA", at positions 711 to 2813 of the family's 2925-position model. The record is from RNAcentral. Lineage: Bacteria; Pseudomonadati; Pseudomonadota; Gammaproteobacteria; Enterobacterales; Enterobacteriaceae.
AGACCCGAAACCCGGUGAUCUAGCCAUGGGCAGGUUGAAGGUUGGGUAACACUAACUGGAGGACCGAACCGACUAAUGUUGAAAAAUUAGCGGAUGACCUGUGGCUGGGGGUGAAAGGCCAAUCAAACCGGGAGAUAGCUGGUUCUCCCCGAAAGCUAUUUAGGUAGCGCCUCGUGAAUUCAUCUCCGGGGGUAGAGCACUGUUUCGGCUAGGGGGCCAUCCCGGCUUACCAACCCGAUGCAAACUGCGAAUACCGGAGAAUGUUAUCACGGGAGACACACGGCGGGUGCUAACGUCCGUCGUGAAGAGGGAAACAACCCAGACCGCCAGCUAAGGUCCCAAAGUCAUGGUUAAGUGGGAAACGAUGUGGGAAGGCCCAGACAGCCAGGAUGUUGGCUUAGAAGCAGCCAUCAUUUAAAGAAAGCGUAAUAGCUCACUGGUCGAGUCGGCCUGCGCGGAAGAUGUAACGGGGCUAAACCAUGCACCGAAGCUGCGGCAGCGACACUCAGGUGUUGUUGGGUAGGGGAGCGUUCUGUAAGCCUGUGAAGGUGUGUCGUGAGGCAUGCUGGAGGUAUCAGAAGUGCGAAUGCUGACAUAAGUAACGAUAAAGCGGGUGAAAAGCCCGCUCGCCGGAAGACCAAGGGUUCCUGUCCAACGUUAAUCGGGGCAGGGUGAGUCGACCCCUAAGGCGAGGCCGAAAGGCGUAGUCGAUGGGAAACGGGUUAAUAUUCCCGUACUUGGUGUUACUGCGAAGGGGGGACGGAGAAGGCUAUGUUGGCCGGGCGACGGUUGUCCCGGUUUAAGCGUGUAGGUGUGUGUUCCAGGUAAAUCCGGUUCACUUUAACACUGAGGCGUGAUGACGAGGCACUACGGUGCUGAAGCAACAAAUGCCCUGCUUCCAGGAAAAGCCUCUAAGCAUCAGGUAACAUCAAAUCGUACCCCAAACCGACACAGGUGGUCAGGUAGAGAAUACCAAGGCGCUUGAGAGAACUCGGGUGAAGGAACUAGGCAAAAUGGUGCCGUAACUUCGGGAGAAGGCACGCUGACACGUAGGUGAAGUGAUUUACUCAUGGAGCUGAAGUCAGUCGAAGAUACCAGCUGGCUGCAACUGUUUAUUAAAAACACAGCACUGUGCAAACACGAAAGUGGACGUAUACGGUGUGACGCCUGCCCGGUGCCGGAAGGUUAAUUGAUGGGGUCAGCGCAAGCGAAGCUCCUGAUCGAAGCCCCGGUAAACGGCGGCCGUAACUAUAACGGUCCUAAGGUAGCGAAAUUCCUUGUCGGGUAAGUUCCGACCUGCACGAAUGGCGUAAUGAUGGCCAGGCUGUCUCCACCCGAGACUCAGUGAAAUUGAACUCGCUGUGAAGAUGCAGUGUACCCGCGGCAAGACGGAAAGACCCCGUGAACCUUUACUAUAGCUUGACACUGAACAUUGAGCCUUGAUGUGUAGGAUAGGUGGGAGGCUUUGAAGCGUGGACGCCAGUCUGCGUGGAGCCGACCUUGAAAUACCACCCUUUAAUGUUUGAUGUUCUAACGUGGACCCGUGAUCCGGGUUGCGGACAGUGUCUGGUGGGUAGUUUGACUGGGGCGGUCUCCUCCUAAAGAGUAACGGAGGAGCACGAAGGUUGGCUAAUCCUGGUCGGACAUCAGGAGGUUAGUGCAAUGGCAUAAGCCAGCUUGACUGCGAGCGUGACGGCGCGAGCAGGUGCGAAAGCAGGUCAUAGUGAUCCGGUGGUUCUGAAUGGAAGGGCCAUCGCUCAACGGAUAAAAGGUACUCCGGGGAUAACAGGCUGAUACCGCCCAAGAGUUCAUAUCGACGGCGGUGUUUGGCACCUCGAUGUCGGCUCAUCACAUCCUGGGGCUGAAGUAGGUCCCAAGGGUAUGGCUGUUCGCCAUUUAAAGUGGUACGCGAGCUGGGUUUAGAACGUCGUGAGACAGUUCGGUCCCUAUCUGCCGUGGGCGCUGGAGAACUGAGGGGGGCUGCUCCUAGUACGAGAGGACCGGAGUGGACGCAUCACUGGUGUUCGGGUUGUCAUGCCAAUGGCACUGCCCGGUAGCUAAAUGCGGAAGAGAUAAGUGCUGAAAGCAUCUAAGCACGAAACUUGCCCCGAGAUGAGUUCUC